GGGGGUGACCGGUUUUGACAGCAGGCAGAGUUUGUUGGUAAGCACGCCGAGCAUUGUGUGGGCGCUCGUAAAUCUGCAACACUCAAACUACAAAUGGCAAUAAUAGCUAUGCACUCGCUGCCUAAUUUUCAAGGAAAAUUGGCUUAAUUGAAGGACACAAGGCUUGUCCAUCAACGAGUAUCCCGAAGGGGCGUUCCGCUUCUUAACGACUCUUCAUACGGGGUAUCAAUCAUUAGAAGAUAGUGCGAUAUGCGCCUCGGUUAUCGUGCGAAAUUUAGAGGCUGGGCCUAUAGUUUGGCGGUCGUCUGCCGGGCUACAGGAGAAGGAUUAAGUGACGACUAAGCGUGUAGAAAGCCUUCGGGCUCCUUGUUUGGACGCGAGUUCGACUCUCGCCACCUCCACAA
This 404-nucleotide transfer-messenger RNA is filed under the name Rikenellaceae. RNAcentral's name for it is "Alistipes sp017937805 Standard tmRNA". It matches the Rfam family "transfer-messenger RNA". From Rfam's summary of the family: Bacterial tmRNA, also known as 10Sa RNA or SsrA, is named for its dual tRNA and mRNA-like properties. Its role is to liberate the mRNA from a stalled ribosome. To accomplish this part of the tmRNA is used as a reading frame that ends in a translation stop signal. RNAcentral also lists the same sequence under 1 other name. The record is from RNAcentral. Lineage: Bacteria; Pseudomonadati; Bacteroidota; Bacteroidia; Bacteroidales.